This 664-nucleotide ribosomal RNA is filed under the name Jubus sp. JP-2016. Its description in RNAcentral is "eukaryotic LSU rRNA". It matches the Rfam family "Eukaryotic large subunit ribosomal RNA", at positions 663 to 1263 of the family's 3401-position model. Lineage: Eukaryota; Metazoa; Arthropoda; Insecta; Coleoptera; Staphylinidae. The record is from RNAcentral.
GGACCAAGGAGUCCUUCGAGUCGACGAGUCGACGGCUCGCCAGACGAACGCCAAGGGCGUAGCGAAAGCAUCGCUUCGUUGUCGCGCGCAAGCGCUUCAGCGAACGCGAGGGGACGAUGGCGAAGUAUGCCUGCACGGCGUCGCCCGCAGUCCCGAGACGGUCUUCGUUUCGUAGAGAAGCCGUUCCCGGAGUCGGCGCGAAGGUACCCGAAAGGUGGUGACCUAUGCCUGGUCAGGGUCAAGUUAGGGGAAACCCUGAUGAAAGCUCGCUAACGCUUCUGACGUGCAAAUCGAUCGUCUAAGCCAGGUAUAGGGGCGAAAGACCAAUCGAACCACCUAGUAGCUGGUUCCUCCCGAAGUUUCCCUCAGGAUAGCUAGAGCGAGACGCGAACAAAGAGUUGCGCGUGGUAAAGCGAAUGAUUAGAGGCAUCGGGGCUGAAACGGCCUCGACCUAUUCUCAAACUUUAAAUAUGCGCGAACCGGCGGCUCCGAAAACGGAGCGCGUCCGGCAAAUCCGAGCGCUCUAAGUGGGCCGUCCAUGGUAAGCAUGGCCGGCGAUGCGGGAUGAACCGAACGUGGAGUUAGAGUGCCCAAAGCUAUGUUAAUGAGAUACCACGAAAGGCGUUAGUAACUAUGGACAGCAGGGCUGUGGUCAUGGAAGUAG